GUUGUGAGGUUAAGCGAAUAAGCGUACACGGUGGAUGCCUAGGCAAUCAGAGGCGAUGAAGGACGUGCUAAUCUGCGAAAAGCGUCGGUAAGGUGAUAUGAACCGCUAUACCCGACGAUAUCCGAAUGGGGAAACCCAGUAUCCAAUGGAUACUAUCAUUAACUGAAUCCAUAGGUUAAUGAGGCGAACCGGGAGAACUGAAACAUCUCAGUACCCCGAGGAAAAGAAAUCAACCGAGAUUCCCCUAGUAGCGGCGAGCGAACGGGGAGCAGCCCAGAGUCUUAAUCAAUAGCAGUGUCAGGAGAACGGUCUGGAAAGUCCGGCAGUAAAGGGUGAUAGCCCCGUAUCUGAAGAUGCUGUUAUUGUGAACUCGACGAGUAGGGCGGGACACGUGUUAUCCUGUCUGAAUAUGGGGGGACCAUCCUCCAAGGCUAAAUACUCCUGAUUGACCGAUAGUGAACCAGUACCGUGAGGGAAAGGCGAAAAGAACCCCGGCGAGGGGAGUGAAAAAGAACCUGAAACCGUGUACGUACAAGCAGUAGGAGCCUCUUUAUGGGGUGACUGCGUACCUUUUGUAUAAUGGGUCAGCGACUUAUAUUCUGUAGCAAGGUUAACCGUAUAGGGGAGCC
RNAcentral lists this ribosomal RNA (629 nucleotides) under Proteus mirabilis. RNAcentral's name for it is "partial 23S ribosomal RNA". It matches the Rfam family "Bacterial large subunit ribosomal RNA", at positions 1 to 667 of the family's 2925-position model. The record is from RNAcentral. Lineage: Bacteria; Pseudomonadati; Pseudomonadota; Gammaproteobacteria; Enterobacterales; Morganellaceae.